This is a long non-coding RNA of Melopsittacus undulatus (budgerigar), 2791 nucleotides long. RefSeq lists it as uncharacterized. The record is from RefSeq and is a predicted model, not a curated record. The transcript is spliced from 3 exons. NCBI's taxonomy places the organism in Eukaryota, Metazoa, Chordata, Aves, Psittaciformes, Psittaculidae.
AGGUGGCUAUCUGCUCUACCACAGACCUCCAUGUGCUGCGGUGGUGUCUUGCCAUGGUCUGCACCAUGGGCUGCAGAGGAACCUCUGCUCUGGCACCUGGAGCACCUCCUGCCCUCCUCCUGCACUGACCCUGGUGCCUGCAGAGCUGUUUCUCUCACAUAUUCUCACUCCUGUCUCUGGCUGAAGUUUUUGUUCCCCACCCCUUUCCCUAAACACAUUGUCCCAGAGGAGCUACCACCAUCACUGUUGGCCUCUGCCUCGUCCAGUGCCAGGUCCAUCGUGGAGCUGCUGGCAUUGGCUCUGUUGGACAUCAGGGGAGCUUCUGGCAUCUUCCCACAGAAGCCUUCCUGCUACUAAAACCUGGCCAUGCCAACCCAAUACAGCAGGUAUCAUCCUGCGAUAUCUGCAUUACAAUAAAAGGUCUUGGCCUAAAAAUGGGUUGACACUUGGAAAGAUACACCUCAGGACAGGACUGUUCCCUCACCCUGCUAUGGAAUCCCCUCACUCAUCUUCAGGAUGUGUGAGUGCAAGACACAACAAAGUUUCACGGCAUCAAAUGAUGCAAUACAAUAAAAAUUGUUAUGGGGAGCAGAGAUAAUGUGCUACAAGCACAUUGAUUUUUCUCCUUCUGUAACUUACUCAGACAACAUAGGUCCUUGCAAGCUCUUUUGUCUAGUGCUGCUGUGGGACUCCCAUGGUCUGCUUUUGCUCCCAAGCUGCAAUUUUGGCAAGCUCAGGCUCCUAAGUGAUCAACAAUCAGCCUGGCCAACCAAACCAUCUUCACCUGCUGCUGAUAAUUGCUCUGAGAAGAGGGUGUUUGUCAAGCUAGUCACUUUAUCUUUUUCUGUAUGCUUUUAAGGGCAAGGCCUUACUGCAGUGGGACAGCAGCGGGUGAGUUUCAUCUGCUAGCAGGCAGUAGGCAUCUCUACCCAUGCUGCUAAUUAUCUUGCAUGAAAUGAGUCCAUUCAGUGUAAGUAGCUGAAGCACAGAGGGUGGCUCAGUGUCAAAUAAAUGAUGGUUUGGUAUGGCAGCUGCCAAGAGCAUCAGCCUGAUUUGCAGAUUCACAGAUCUGUGAAUGCAACUUAUCUUCCUGUGAGUGGACAGGGACAGGAAAGAGAAGAGGAUGGCUGAAAGAGGAAGAAACUUGGGAGAUGGUUCAGCUGGAACCUGGCCCCUUCAAGUGACAGUGAUUAACGUUGCAUGCUUUGCCAUUAAGGAGGCUGAACAUGUGAAUCAACGUACGUGAGAGCUUUUUCCAAGACAAAAUUGUCUCUGGAGCAGUGUCAGCACCAGCAAGAGGAAGAGCUAGGACCAGCUGCUUUGACAUGAGUCUUUCUGCCUGCCAUGUGCCUCUUGACCUCCACACUUGUGUCCUUCCUAUAGCCAGUACACUCUAGCUUUACCUAUCAGCCACUUAAGCCUCAGCCUUGCAAAAGUUUUAGCAUAAGCUCAUUGUAGUGCAGCUAUUUACCCCUCCAGGACUCUGGAGAGAAGACCCGCAAAGGAUGGCAUUACAGAGGAACAGCAUUAAAUGCCUGUGAAUGAUGAACUUUUUAUUAAGCACACAUAGUCUAAGUUCAGAGGCUGAGCAAGCCAGGCUGAGAAAAAAAGAGCCAGAAAGGUAGGAUCAUCUUCCACAGGCAAAGUGUGGCUGUGCAUCCAGAGAGCUUUGUUUCCAUUUCGGAUGAGAUCAGGACACAAAGUGUCCAUUAGCAGCCCACAACUAGGUAAAAAUACUUUUAUUAAUAACAGGUGCUAUAUUUUUGCAUAUAAACCUUACAAUUUGACCAUGAGAAAGAGUGCUAUGAUGACAUAAUAACACAGAUUAUCAACACAUAGAGGUAUGGAGAAAAGUUUCUCUCUGGCACAUCUAUCUCCUUUCACCUCACCAAAAGCUCAUCUUCUUCUGUGGUAUUAGAUAGUAGCAAUGAACAGACAACUCCUUUCUAGACAGUGGCUCUCUCAAAUCAGUUGCAUAUUCUCAAAGUUACAGGAUACUUGCAGAAAAAUACAGCAUUUGCAAAGCAUUCUUCAGUUGAUAAGCAGUUUAACAGUAGAGUACCCUCUCUGGGAAGAUGCAGCAAAGAAAGCACCUUAAGAAAUUGAAAGGUACACCUGGAUCCACUUAAAUAAAAGGAUCUUGCUAGGGAAGCCUAAUUGGCCUGCCCUAGUUAGCCCACCUGUGAACAGUUUUGUAGCUACAAGAACAGGAGUGAGGCACUCAUGAGGUUUUCUACUUUGUUCUGGAAGUUGAAGUUAGAGAAAACUUGGAAACCUGGGAUAGCAGCUGUGACCUAGAUACUGUGUCUGAAGAGACCUCUGUGGCCAUAGUCCUUGCUAGUGGAGGCAGCAGCUCUGGCAGGUGAGCAGGCAGAACGAGCUGCAGCAGUCAAACCUGCGCAGAGACUCUCCCAUCAGGCUCCCACAUACAUCAAUGUCUUGUGCCUGUGAGGAACUGUUGGACAAAACAAAAAUCAAGCUGAAAAAAAAUCCCCUCACACACAGAGCGGUGACAGAUCUGGAUUGUCUGGAGAUGAUGGAAUAAUUUACACGCUCUGGUUUAAUGUUCCUGUUUCUUUUUUUUUUUCCUCCAGCUGCCACCUCCCCACCUUCUGUCACUGUCGUCUAAAUGAAUUUACAAGAAAAAGAAAAUAGUUCUCACUAAUGUUCUCACACAAAUGAAACAUUAGGCAGAGAGACAAAAAGAAAAUAACCGAUUGUGAAAGCAAAACCCCUCUGAGACAGUCUGAGCAUUAUCAGGAGCAGCCUGGGAGAGGAACUGGGGGGAGAG